GUGAGGAAUAUUGGACAAUGGGCGCAAGCCUGAUCCAGCCAUGCCGCGUGCAGGAAGACGCAUCUAUGGUGUGUAAACUGCUUUUGUACGGGAAGAAACACUCCCUCGUGAGGGAGCUUGACGGUACCGUAAGAAUAAGGAUCGGCUAACUCCGUGCCAGCAGCCGCGGUGAUACGGAGGAUCCAAGCGUUAUCCGGAAUCAUUGGGUUUAAAGGGUCCGUAGGCGGUUUAAUAAGUCAGUGGUGAAAGCCCAUCGCUCAACGAUGGAACGGCCAUUGAUACUGUUAUACUUGAAUUACAAGGAAGUAACUAGAAUAUGUAGUGUAGCGGUGAAAUGCUUAGAUAUUACAUGGAAUACCAAUUGCGAAGGCAGGUUACUACUUGUGGAUUGACGCUGAUGGACGAAAGCGUGGGGAGCGAACAGGAUUAGAUACCCGAGUAGUCC
Molecule: ribosomal RNA, 445 nt
Filed under: uncultured bacterium
Lineage: Bacteria
Description: partial 16S ribosomal RNA
Rfam family: Bacterial small subunit ribosomal RNA
Source: RNAcentral